GCCCUGUUAGCUCAGUUGGUAGAGCAGUCGCCUCUUAAGCGAACGGUCGCAGGUUCGAAUCCUGCACGGGGCACAA
Molecule: transfer RNA, 76 nt
Filed under: Candidatus Vogelbacteria bacterium RIFOXYD1_FULL_46_19
Lineage: Bacteria; Candidatus Vogeliibacteriota
Description: tRNA-Lys
Rfam family: tRNA
About the family: Transfer RNA (tRNA) molecules are approximately 80 nucleotides in length.
Source: RNAcentral